UACCUGUAGCAGCCACUCGACUUUCUAACUCGGUUGAGGAUGCCGGGCGUAUUUUCAGCACCAACCCCAAAAUGUCGCGAAGCGGUGCUUGUUUCGUGUGCAGGUGGCUUACGUGCAAUUGGUAUAUACAGCUACGCAAUGUGUUGUGAGACGCUGUCUCCGUUUGGAGGGAUGUGUGACCGUUACGAUGUACCAGACUACACUGAGGACAGUAAAGUUCAAGAGUGCUGCCGUGAGAACCUGGGCCAAGUCCCGAGUCACACACACCGUUCUGAAGAGGACUUUUUGUGUUGCUCUCGUGCAGGGCGGAGCGCUGCCUGGCAACAGCCGCUACUGUCCCGGCAAACACAAGGUCAUGCAGCAACCUGUUCGGCGCUCACAGCCACCAGAUAUAAGAGUUCAAGAGAGUGCUCUUCAUCUUGCUCGAAUCCAGUCUCUGUUUAUAUCUGGUAGUGCAAAAAUUACUCUCCAGAAUGAUAAAACUGAUGAAGUCCUAUAAGGUAUGUAGAGCAUAUCAUGUAUUAUCCUCUGUCAAAAUUUCUAAUGAUGCUAGUAUUAAAUGUGUCAAACCCACAGAAUAGUCACCAGAUUCUCCCUAUUUAAAUCCAUCUGAUGACUAUUUUUGAAUGAACCUGAACACUGAGUGUACAGAAAUCAGAGAGAACCAUUGCGGUAACUGGAAUUAAAAAGAAUGUGUUAAAGUGGUGGCCUCGGAUAUCACGAGAUGACAGCUGAUCAGCCACCGACCAAAGAAAAAGACCUGAAUUCAUGCCUUAGUCUAAGAAAAAGGGGGGUCCUAUUCAAAAUCCUUUCUGAUAAAAAAUAAUAUUUAUACAUAAAAUGACUAUCUUUAACAUUCAAAAUGGAAUAUCUUCUUCUAUGUAUACAAUGAACCAAACUGAAAAAACCUCAGGUAUCUUCUUCAAAACUUGUAUGUGUUUCAUUUAAAUCCAUGGAACCCUCCAUUUCCACCAUUAAUUUAAAGGUAGUCUCUUGGGUGACACUGAAAGUAGUGUCAUAAAGAAAUAAAAGACUCGACAUGAAAACAUUAUUAUUUGCAGAAGAUGUAUUGAUUUUGCGAAAGAUGAAACUGAAAUUUAAGAGAAACUAAGUCAAUGGAAUUUUACUAUAAAAAAUCAAGAAGAAAACAGAACAAGAUUUAGACACAAUAACUGAAAAGGUGAACACAUUUAUUUGGGAAGCAAGAUACAAUCAGAAGAGAAAAUUGAUGGAGCAUACAAAACAGUUAAAUUAAGUUACAGGAAGGCAGAGACCCAAAAACGGCGCAAAACCACACUCUGUGCAAUCUAGUUUUAACUGAUUUUAACUUAAAAUAAGGAAAUUUAACCUUAAAGAAGAAACAAAGGCAAAACUCUAGCAACAGAUAGAAAGAACAAGAAAGCAACAAGAAAGAGUAGCUGGAAGUCAAUAUGAUAAAAAAAUCUGGAAGGGAUAAGAAUGUAGUGUUGUAGUGGUUCCGUCAUGAAAGGGCAUGGGAUAGAAUGAAAAUGCCGAGAUUUCAGAUUGAAGGAAUGAGGCCUGUGGGAUGACUCGGAUAAAGAUGGUUCAGCCAGGUAAUAGAAAGACAUCAAGAAGAGAGGAAAUAACUGGCAACAAAUGACUUACAUUAGUCUGAUACUAACAGAAGAGAAAAUUUAAUCUAGAGCUCCCAUAUCAAAGAGCAGGAAGAUGUAUCUAUUUAGCAGAUCAAGUGCUGAUAGUAGUGAUAUCCCAUUUCAUCAUGAGAAAUGCAUUACAGACUAAGAGGAAACUGUCACUUAUAUCUUCAGGGUAGAAGAUGGAGAAAGCAGGAUCUUCUGAAAUCUUGCCAAACUAAAUGGCGUCACAUUCCUGGUGACAAUAAUUUUUAUAGUUACUUCCAUUAUAACUUCCAAUCUCACAUUCCAUUGUCACUACAAUAAAAAAUACCCACUUUGCAGUGCCAGUUCAAAGAUGAAUGAAGCCCCAAAGAUAGAGAUCAAGGAUGUGAUAAUGAUAUCUAGUCAUCUAUCACAUGGGUCAGGAAGCAGUGCUAGACUGGUAUAUGACAGUGGUGGAAUAAUGAGUGACUGAGGAAGAUCGAGGUUUGUUUCCCAAUGAGGUCACUAGAUUCUUUAAUAGACCUAAUCCUUUCAACCACAAUAUGGCCCUGGGGUUAACUCAGCCACUAACUGAAAUGAGUACCAAGAACCUCACUGCCAUCUGUGACCUGACUGCCUAGUUGUCUCGCAACUCUUUGGGCCUCCACAGCCAGCUACAGGGAUUACUUUACCAUCUCACCUUUUUUACCUGAGGAACACUGAAGAAACUUGGAAAGAAACCUGCAACAAUGGCACUUUGUUCACAACAAAUCUCAUAUGAAAUUACCCGGAAUUGAUCCUGAGACUCCACAUUUAAAAGUCAGCACCAAACUAAGUUAUAACAGAGUCAUUAAGAUCUGAGAUAUUUCAUUCAGCCAUGAUGACUUUUACAGGAGUCUCAACUGAUCACUCAAAACCAUUUAAACACCCAAAAAAUUGUUAAAUUUCACCAGAAAGAAAAGGGCAAAAAAUUACAAAUCAAGAAAGAAACAUACUUUGAUAUAAUGUCAUGAUAUUCAACCUGCCUAUAUAACCAAACCUAUUCCUCAACCUUUAGACUUUAACCCUGAAGAUGGAGGCAUCCUGUUCCUCCAGAAUGUCAGCAAAAGACUUAAAUCUCUCACACUCUUCCAGUUCACCACAACUAAUUUUCUUCUCGCCUAGUUUGACAGUGACUACAAUCUGCACUGUGAACCACUGAAUAACUGAAGGGCAUCCAUUGGGUUACUGGAUGUGCUCAGUGUUGCAAGAUUUGAAAACAAAAUCCAUAAUUUGGAGUGAUGGCUUCAAACCAGCUUGCUUAUAGAAAAAUCAUGCUUCAAAACAUCUCUGUAUUAUGAUUUCAUCAUGUUUUCUCCUCCUCCUCCUUCUUUUUCCUCUUCCUGGAUUGGCUUUUUAAUCUGUUCCAUCUCCAAGGCUGUACACACAAUUCCUUUCUCCAUUUUUCCCAUUUCUUUCCAGCCAUUCAGUUUAUAUCGACGAAUUUCUUCUGAAAAUAAACUUAAACAUCUGUAAGGAGAAUGAGUAUGUAACUAACUUCAUGAAAUAUGUGUAAUCCUUUUGCGAAGCUAACUUUUAUGGAACCUAAAGGUCCAUUACAAUGUUAAACAGAGCCUGUUACUGGUCCCUAUCCUAAGCCAGGUGAAUCCAGUCACAACCCUCCCACAAUAUACCUUUAGAAUUCAUUUUAAUAUUAUUCUCCCACAUAUGUCUAUAUCUUUCAAAUCAUGUUUAACAACAAAAACUUCGUAUCCAUUAUUCAUCUUUCCCAUGGCAUAUGUCCGAUACAUCUUAUCAUCCUUAAUUUGAUCCUAAUGGAACAUGGCAAAGAUGUAAGAACAUCUGCAAACGAUCUAAUGACAAAUGGAAAAGUGUACAAAUUAUGAAUGGUACUUUUCAUUAUUAUAAAUUAUUUUCAAAGUUGUUUGGAGAAUAUUUAAAUUAGACAUUACAGACUGAGUGUAACAACGAGUAAAUUUUGCCAGUGAUUAUAUAUUGAAUUGCAUAAUGAAGGUAAUGAUUAGUAAAUGCAACAUAAAUUGUUAUGAUUUGUUGCAGGCUGUAAUGCCACGAGCAGAAAUGAAGUGUAGUGAGGAGUGGUAACUCCACCACCGUUGGCUUGACUUCUAGAAAUGGUGGCCAACGGUAGAGGAGUUCCUCUACCUCGCUACAUGCAACACCAUACUACAUGCUUCAAGAGAGAAACUGCUGCCUGUUGCACUAACCAUAUGUGCAAACAAAAUAAACCAGGAUGAUAAACCGAUCUGAGGACAAAUUUUUAUAAGACACAGGUUUAGUCUUCAAAAUACAUUCAGGAUGCAUUCCUACAAACAGGGGAAAGCCUAUUUAAUGUCCCAUGAUUUAACAUUUUCCCUCACAUUCAAUUUCAAUAACCCCAAGCCAGUUUUAAGACAUUCCUCAAUUUAGUGUUCAAAUAAACUACUCCAUAAAUUAAUCUUAAAUGGGAAAAUCCUUUAAUUCAUCACCAUUACUGCUUAAAACGACUACGCCAGAUAGGAAUAAUGCUAGAUGAACUCUGUUCCUUAAUAAGUCAUGAAAUGCAGUCAGAGAUCAAGCCUGUACAAGGCUUGUUAUAAUGCUAUUGAAUUAUGAAAGGAAUACUGUGGAACAGAUACUAAAGCAAUGCAAAACAACAAUCUACACAGUACAUUUCGAAUGCUUACUGCAGAGUGUGCAGCCUUUGCUAUGCAACGACUGUGAGAUAAGGUGAAUAAACAGCAACAGUUUCUAGGCAACAGCUGGCAAACACAUUUACAUGGCAACAAAUAUUCAAGUAACAAUAGAAGAAUGGUGUUUUCUAUGUGGUCUGUGCCAAGAUGUUAUAAUCAGGGCAGUUGGAGCAACACGUUCAGUUGACAGCUGAGUUGAGUUCUGCACGAGAAGUUGGGAAGAUUAGUGGUGGUGCUGUAAUUUGUUUGUAGUUCUGAGUUAUGUGUAUUAGUGGACAAUAAAUCCAUUUACCAAUCCAAAGUCUGUCUAUAGUCACACACACUCUACACAUGAUAAUAUUUCAUGUGUUAGCGAACAGACACAGGGUUUUGAUGGGUAACUGAAUUUGUUAAACACUUACAACUCAUAACUACAAGUAAUAUAACCAUUUCAUAGAUCUACUCUCUCUACAAAUCACUGUAUUGCAGCACACAUAAAGCUUUCUAUGCCUUCAUCAAUCGUUGCCUGGUAACGGCUCUAUUUCCAUACUCAUGUCCUCACUGGAUGGCAGAUGGCUUGCAACUAACUCAGAACUGAACUAAUUAAGUUGCUCACUUGUCCUUACUAUAUAGCCUCAGGUCAGACUGCAGAGGAAAAACAGCUUCCAACAGCUCUUUCACUGUUGCUGACAUCUUGAUGAGCCAUUGCCUAGUGACAGCUCGCUUGUUUAUCGAGCCUUUAAGUAGUCAUGUCACAAUAAAAUACUGAAACAAGGCGAAACAAAGGCAAAAUCACAGCAAUGAAUAUAACAUUCUUUAAAAGUACUCAAGGAGAAAGGGGAUCUUGUGUUAGAAACAAAGGUUUUUUAUAUAGAAAAUUAGAAUUCAAAAUUUGUUAAAGGACUUAAAAGAAAAAUGAGUAGAAUGGCUAGGCCAUGUAAAAGAAUGGGCAUAACAAAGAUACCAAGAAGGGCAUUAGAAUUAAAAUUUAUGGAAAAGAAAUUGCUGCCCCGACUAUGAGAACGAAAUGUAGUAGAGGUUAGGUGAAAGUGCUUUAAGCAAUAAAUGAAUGGAGAGACCACCAGGUGGUGUUACUGUGAAUGCCUCUGUUGCUCUUUAUCUUGUAUCACUUCAACUGCAGCUGCAAAUGACUCAGUGCAAUAUGUAUCAGUUCCCCUUGUGUUUCUGUUCUAAUAAGCCAUUAACAAAUCUGUCUUAUAAUCUCAGUUAGAGCACUGAUGUGCAACGGCGAUGUUUACACUUAAAUAAUGGGGUCUUCUGUCAGAUACUUAUAAAAAAAAGAAAAUGUCUCGCCAUAACCAUUCUGGUAUUCAAGGUCAAGCUUCAUCAGUAAUUUUCAAAUUGGUGAAGAAAGGGAAUUUAACUGAGUCUUUCUUCUGCAAGAAAUACAUUACAUAAUACUGUGCUGAGGAAAAGCUCGAUGAAACUGAUGCCAGAGUAGAACAUUCACCUCAUAAAUUACUAACUCAAGAGGCAAAGGCUUUUACUGCAAAACAUAGAAACUAAAAAGUUAAAUCUACUGCCACCUAAAAUUAAACAAGCAAAACAACUGAAUAAAUUGACUGUGAGAGUACAACA
This is a long non-coding RNA of Cryptotermes secundus, 5848 nucleotides long. RefSeq lists it as uncharacterized. Lineage: Eukaryota; Metazoa; Arthropoda; Insecta; Blattodea; Kalotermitidae. The transcript has 3 exons. The record is from RefSeq and is a predicted model, not a curated record.